RNAcentral lists this ribosomal RNA (563 nucleotides) under Bacillus aerius. RNAcentral's name for it is "bacterial SSU rRNA". It matches the Rfam family "Bacterial small subunit ribosomal RNA", at positions 226 to 781 of the family's 1533-position model. Lineage: Bacteria; Bacillati; Bacillota; Bacilli; Caryophanales; Bacillaceae. The record is from RNAcentral.
UGGACCCGCGGCGCAUUAGCUAGUUGGUGAGGUAACGGCUCACCAAGGCGACGAUGCGUAGCCGACCUGAGAGGGUGAUCGGCCACACUGGGACUGAGACACGGCCCAGACUCCUACGGGAGGCAGCAGUAGGGAAUCUUCCGCAAUGGACGAAAGUCUGACGGAGCAACGCCGCGUGAGUGAUGAAGGUUUUCGGAUCGUAAAGCUCUGUUGUUAGGGAAGAACAAGUGCAAGAGUAACUGCUUGCACCUUGACGGUACCUAACCAGAAAGCCACGGCUAACUACGUGCCAGCAGCCGCGGUAAUACGUAGGUGGCAAGCGUUGUCCGGAAUUAUUGGGCGUAAAGGGCUCGCAGGCGGUUUCUUAAGUCUGAUGUGAAAGCCCCCGGCUCAACCGGGGAGGGUCAUUGGAAACUGGGAAACUUGAGUGCAGAAGAGGAGAGUGGAAUUCCACGUGUAGCGGUGAAAUGCGUAGAGAUGUGGAGGAACACCAGUGGCGAAGGCGACUCUCUGGUCUGUAACUGACGCUGAGGAGCGAAAGCGUGGGGAGCGAACAGGAUUAG